CAGGCCUGUAAUCCUGGCACUUUGGGAGACAAGCUGGAGGAUUUGUUGAGGCCAGCCUGGGCAGCAUAGUGAGACCUAAAAACAAAAAAAAUCCUUAAACAUGACUAAUUUGGGAAGGAGAGAAAGGGUUCGGGCCAAAGGUCAGCAUUGUCUCUACAAGAAAACCUUGUUCCUGUCCUUGCUACCCAACAGUUUUAUCUCCACACAGUAGUCCAAGGGAUCCUAUUAAAUUGAUCAUGGCACUCCCGUGCAAAAAAAUCAAAAGUCCUCAUGAUAGCUUUCAUGAUCUUCCCACUUUAUGUGUGACCUCAUGUC
This 315-nucleotide long non-coding RNA is filed under the name Homo sapiens (human). RNAcentral's name for it is "HSALNT0052090". Lineage: Eukaryota; Metazoa; Chordata; Mammalia; Primates; Hominidae. The record is from RNAcentral.